This 265-nucleotide unclassified non-coding RNA is filed under the name Glomus sp. RNAcentral describes it as "partial contains 5.8S ribosomal RNA and internal transcribed spacer 2". The stretch from base 1 to 71 matches the Rfam family "5.8S ribosomal RNA", at positions 84 to 154 of the family's 154-position model. Lineage: Eukaryota; Fungi; Glomeromycota; Glomeromycetes; Glomerales; Glomeraceae. The record is from RNAcentral.
GUGAAUCAUCGAAUUUUUGAACGCAAAUUGCACUCUCUGGUAUUCCGGAGAGUAUGCCUGUUUGAGGGUCAGCCUAAAAAAAAUCGACAUGGUUGCUGUUACGCGGUAACAUUCGUCGGAAAUUGGGUCAUCUUAAACCUUUGGGUUUAAGCGGCUUAAAAUUUUCUUUACGAUUCCAAGAACGUUUCUAAGAUUUUAUUUUCUUAUACGUUUAAGGUAUCGAUCUUAUUUAGACGUGGCCGUUGAUUCGGUCUUCGCCCAAAAU